GUUGCCUGCACCACAGCUCAUGGCAACGCUGGAUCCUUAACCCACUGAGUGAGGCCAGGGAUAGAACCUGCAUCCUCAUGGAUGAUAGUCAAUUUCGUUUCUGCUGAGCCACAAUGGGAACUCCUGGAAGAAUUUUUUUUCAGUUGCUGAAUUUAGUUUAAAAACUUGGAGUUCCUGUUGUGGCUUAAUGGGUUAUGAACCUGACUAGUAUCCAUGAGAUCCCUGGCUUUGCUCAGUGGGUUAAGGAUCGGGGGUUGCCUUGAGCUGUGGUGUAGGUUGUAGAUAUGGCUCGUGUCUGGUAUUGCUGUGGCUGUGGCAUAGGCUGGCAGCUGCCCCUCUGAUUUAACCUCUAGCCUGGGAACUUCCAUAUGCUGUGUGUGUGGCUAUUAAAAAAAAAAAAAGAAAAAAUCUUUGGAAUGAUGCCUGUGAAAUACUAACAAUACUAUGCUAUCUUGAAUGCUGAAAGAUGGAAUCCUGGCACCUAUCCUCUACUUAACAAACCAGCAAAAUGUGUGAACUAGUUUUAGACUGUCUAGAGAGACCACCCUCAGGACACCAGUCCCUUAAGAAAAAAGACAGGGGUGUGAAUGUGUGUAUGUCUGAAUACCCUAUUCCCCACUUGGCAAGUCACAACGGAUAUUAGCAUAUGAAGGCCGUUGUGAACUUCUACAUGUAAGGAAUCUGCUUCCCAGCAUUCUUUGACCACAUAACUUUCUUUUGGUACCAUGAUUUGUAUUUAUUUAUUUUCAGGAAUACUCAAGUAACAUUUCAGUAGAGAAACACUGCACAAAAGAGCCCACCAGCUCUCUCUUGAAUAAAACCUUUGUUGUGUUCUUCUGGGUUUGCUGUUAUAUUGAUUAAAAUGGUAAGAACCUUGAUUUUUGAAAUCUAACCUUUUUUUUCCUUUUUAGGGCUGCACCAGCCUCGUACAGAAGUUCCUAGGCUAGGGAUUGAAUUGGAGCUGCAGCUGCUGGUCUAUACCACAGCCAGAGCAAUGCCAGAUCCGAGCCAUGUCUGCAACCUACUCCAUAGCCCUGGAUCCUUAAGCCACUGAUCAAGGCCCAGGAUCAAACCUGCAUCCUCAUGUUUACUAUCCGGGUUUGUUACCACUCAGCCAUAAUGGGAAGUCCAAUCGAACCUAAUUUAAAUCCCACUACAGCAGUAUAUCACACCAAAAUAUACUUCCAGAAGUUAUACCAUCAGCACUGUGCUGUUUUUCAAUUUUGUAUUUGAGACUGCUGUGGCUAUUUGUGCUUACAUGUGAGCAAAGAGAAAAAGGUAUGCAUCACUGGACUUCCAUUAUCCUGGAAAAUAGGUGCUUCAGCCAAUUCCACCCUAAUUAGUUUCUCAGAGAAGCUAAAAUCCUGCUUUCUGCAACCCAAUAGCUAGUUGAUUUAACAAUCAAAGUCAACGUGCUGCAUGUCAGAACAAAGUAAAAUUCAGGUGGCAGCUCAUCACUCCAGAAUUGAAAUUUAAAUAUUCUGACUUUGGGAUUUAAUUACAUGACUAACACUACUUGAGCUGAAUCAAGUGGACAAGUAUAGGCACAGGAGAUUUUUUGCUUAAUGUGAUUUGGACAUUCUCAGAUGAGAUGUACUGGCUUAGGAACAGUGAAAAACAGAAUUUGAAAAACAAGCUCAAUGUUAGAGCAUGCAAUACAAAGGCAUGCAUUAAAUGUUUCGAUGCUCAACAAAGUAUGGUUGCAUUCAUUCCUACUUGGUUGCAUAUUCAUUCAUCAAUAGAUAUUUAUUGAUGGUCUACUCUGGGCUAAGAGCCAGAUGAUGGGGAUAGAGUAGUCAAUGAAAUAGACUUCCUCCCUUCCUUCAUGUUAUUGGCCAAAUUGUGGCCCCACCCUCCACCAGCCAAAUUCAUUUAAGUCCUAACUCCCAGUAUCUCAAUGUCUUUAGAGAUAGAGUCUUAGAAUGGAGUCUCAGAAGCAUCCCUGCUGGAAACCAACUUCCAGCCUCCAGAAUUGUGAGAAAGCAAAUUUCCAUUGCUUAAGCCACCUAGCGUGAUACUUGGUGAUGAUGGCCAUAGCAAACCAAUAUGCUCAGAAAGCUUCAACUCUACUUGAAGAGACAGACCUUGGUGAAAUAAUCACAUCAAUCAACCCAGAGCUGCAGGUCUGACUGUGAACACAGAGAUCCAGCAAGAGGUGACAGAGGAGAGUGACCUGGAAGGGAGACCAAGGAGGUCUUCCCUGGGGAAGUGACACUUGCAUGAGAUGGGCAGGAGAGGAGGUAACAGAGUGAGAAGGGAGGGGCUGUGCCUUCUAGGAAGGGGAUCCAGUAUGUGCAAGGGUCCUGCGGAGAAGAACAUGAGGGACCAAUGGUAAGCAGUGUGGCUGGGGAGAGAAAGCAGGCAGGUGUAGGGGGAGAUGUGGGGCUGGCCAGGUAAUCAGAGGCCAAGCACUAGUGCUCCAGACAAGGAAGGACUUACUAUUAAGGUCAUACUCCAAGGGUCUACAAACUUGGGUGGGAAAACAUUACAUUCCUAUUUUUACUAACUUUUAACUAAAAUUCAGCAUUCCCAUCUAGUUGUAGGCGGCAAUGCAUGAUGGUAUGGUAGCAAUAUCUGCAACAACUUUUUCACCAUUUGAAAUCAGAAGUAUUUUCCUGUUGUGUUCAGACACCGUGAAAUUCAUAUGUGUUCAUCAAUUCAAUACUUAAAAUUAUGGAGUUCUUGUGCCUGGCUCUAGAUCUUGUUACUUAACACAUUUAAAGAAGCUGAGAUAGGAGUUCCCAUGGUGGCUCAGUGGUUACAAACCUGACUAGUAUCCUUGAGAAUACGUGUUUGAUCCCUGGCCUUGCUCAGUGGAUUAAGGAUCCAUCGUUGCCAUGAGCUGCGGUGUACGACACAGAUGCAGCUCAGAUCUGGCAUUGCUGUGGCUGUGAUAUAAGCCAGCAGCUACAGCUCCAAUUUGACCCCUAGCCUGGGAAAGUGCAUGCCGCAGGUACAGCCCUAAAAAGACAAAAAAAAGAAGCAGCAGCUCAGACAUUACCCCUAUGAUCCAGAUCCUCCAAGUUUAAAAUAUUUUGCUAACUGUAUUUGAAGGGAAUUGUUUCCUUUGUGAUGUUAUUUUAGGCUGUUAAAGAUAGCAUGCUGAGAUUGUUUCCAUAGGUUUUGCCAGCAUGCCAGAAGGAUCCAGGCACAAAAAGUUUAAGAAUCCUUAAGAUGUUUGUUUUGUCUUUAUUCUAAGAUUAAUUGCUAGCUGCAUCACUUUGGGCAAUUUUUUUUUAACAUCUCUGAGACUUAGUUCCCUCCUCUGUAAAAUAAAUGUUUAUAAGACUUAUAGAGGAUCCAAUGAGUCAAUACACAAAAAAGGCUUAGAAUGGACUUGGUAAGGCUUAACGAACAGUAGGAUUAUUAAUGAGACUCCACUGUGUUGUUUUGAGGGAGUAACAUGGUAGUCAGGUUGAUACUUUGAAAGAUAAUUCUGGGUCAAAUGUGGAGAAUUGUCUGAAAGAGGUCACAACAGCCAACACAUCAGACUGCUAGAGCAGAGCUGCAUUUGAAGAACGUUCUAGUCUAAAAUGAAAUUUUUCACUAGGGGAAAUUAUUCUUCAUAUCAGAUCUGAAGUAGAAGUCAGACACAUCAAUAACAAAAAAGCAGAGCCAUUCUGAUUGGAGUUGGGUGUAGGACCCGAAGUGACUUCUGCACAGCGCUUCUCUCUGCUCUCAAAAAGUCAGCUUCAAGACAUUUCCAAGAAACUCCUGAAUCCACAAAGACCAUCCUCUGUGAACUGUUCAUAGUAAUCUUCUGCUAUGCCAAUUGCGAAACUGCCAAAGCUAUUCAAAAACACCAGGUCCUUAUAAAACAGAGGGUCGUCUACUGCUCAAGUUGCCUGCAUUUUCAGCAGCAGUUGGGAUUCAUUCAUUUAUGCAAGAGCAUUUUUUGAGUGUUCACUCUGUACUUUCCUAGGUGCUGAGGAUACAGCUGCACUUACAGCGUUAAGUGAAAAAUCUAGCGGGCAGGAGGGAGGAAGCAGAAAAUAAACACAAUAAAAUAAGAAAGACGUACAUACAUCUAGAUGAUCAUGAUCUAGAUUAAUAUCUAUGAGGUCCUGACACUCUAACUGGCCAUGUUGUUCACUGAUGUAGGCCCAGGAUGCAGAAGAGCAUUUGGUAAAAUUGGUACCCCAAGUUGAAGAGAGGGAUGGAUGGAUGGCUGGAUGGAUAGACAGGUGGAGAGCUGGGUAGAUGGAAGAAUUGAUGGAUGGGUGUAUGGAGGGAAGAGUCGGUGGGUGGGUGGACUGUUGAAUACAUGGAAGGCUGUAAGGAACAUUCCGAAGAGGUGGAGAAGGCAGGAAGGAACACUAAGGGAAACGAGAUACUGAGGGAAAAGCAGAACACAUAGAAAAAGAAGUAUAUUGUUUGAGAGGAGGAAUAAAAGAUAGCAGCCUUAACCUACAAAGUUUGAUUUCCAUUUAUAUAACCCGACAAGAUGAAUAGUUUCAUCAACAUUAUCAUCACACCAUCAUCACCACCAUCGUCAUUUUGUAGAUAUUGGGACUAAGACUCUAAAACAUUGAGAGGCUUUCCCAAGGUCAGCAACUUUUAUAUCAAAGCUAAGAUUUGGACUCUUAUCUUCAUUGCCCCUUACUCUUGGGUUCCAAGACAUUUAGAACAACAACAACAACAACAGCAAAAACACACAAAUUGGCCACAUCUUCAAGAUUGCCAGGUGAGAUUCCGAAAAUGAUAUAAAAAUUAGAAGUGGGAGGAAUAAUGCCCACAUCACAAUUUCCUGGAAGAUGUUUAUUGACUUACUUGCAAUGUCUACCCUGCUAGCCCUCAAAGGGAGUCAAGGGGAGUCUUCCUGGAUGGCCCUGGUCCAAAAGGACCAGCAGAUACUGUGCUUCAAAAGGAUGCCCACAUUCAGAGCAUUUACAGGAGGAAAAAAAAUAUACGCCCAAAAUUUUUUUAACUGACUUUUUUUGUCUUUUCUAGGGCCUCAUCUGUGGCAUAUGGAGGUUCCCAGGCUAGGGAUCUAAUCGGAGCUGUAGCUGCUGGCCUACGCCAAAGCCACAGCAAUUGGGAUCCGAGCCGCAUCUGUGACCCAUGGCAACACCAGAUCCUUAACCUACUGAGCAAGGCCAGGGAUCGAACCUGCAACCCCAUGGUUACUAGUCUGAUUUGUUAAUCACUGAGCCAUGAUGGGAACUCACUGACUUUAUUUAAUCAGCAGAAAAACAAUAAAGAUGAAAAUCAGUGCUGUAAAAUACAGUCAGUUAACUAAACAAACAGGAAGCAACACGCAUUAAGAACCUGACCUUCUAUAUGCUCUAAUAUUUGAAUAUACAUUUUUU
Molecule: long non-coding RNA, 5309 nt
Filed under: Sus scrofa (pig)
Lineage: Eukaryota; Metazoa; Chordata; Mammalia; Artiodactyla; Suidae
Description: lncRNA (ENSSSCG00050030659.1)
Source: RNAcentral